Molecule: long non-coding RNA, 867 nt
Organism: Gavialis gangeticus (Gharial)
Lineage: Eukaryota; Metazoa; Chordata; Crocodylia; Gavialidae
Exons: 4
Source: RefSeq, a predicted model, not a curated record
GAGACAGAGGAGUUGCCUGUGAAAAUAAUCCCUUGUAUUAGAAUAAAACAUGUACACAUUCCUCCAGACUUGGUGUCUGAUCAUUUACAAGACAUUCCCAUAAAAACAGAACCUCUUGAGAAAGUGCAAGAUGCAUUCAUUGCUCAAACUAGGGAUGGCCUAAGAGACCUAAGAGCAUCGCAGGCUGAGAAGUGUCUUGAAGAUGAACAUUUGAGAUCUGAGGCACAGAGAAAAGAACACAGUCAUUUCUCUCUGGGUAGCAAAGGAUAACCAGUUGUAAGGCCAGGGGAGGCCUUCAGCAGGACCUCAUCUGAGAAGGUGCUGAAGCCUGUGUGGAACAUGCUGAAAGCUCUUCAACCCAGGGCGGACCCCCUUGCACAACUGGCAGCCCAGUACACUGAGAAUGAAAAGGGAGAGGAGAAGGUGGAGGAAAAGCUUGAAGCAAAGGAACAGUGGGAGGAAGAAUAGGAGCUGCAGCAGAUAGAGGAGACCAUUCAAGUUGAAUCCUCUCUGUAUUUGGGGAGCCCACUGGCUUCAUCCAUGGACAGUGAACAAUUAAGUUGGAAACACUGUCUGAAGAUGCUGGAAAGAAAGAUCCUCCCAUACCAGAAGAAAUGGGGGUCGAUACAGCAGCUGCUGGCAGUUCCAGAAAAAUGGUCUUCCUCUUUUAAGAAGAUACUGAAUGGUCUGUCCAGAGUGCACUCUCUUCUCUUAAGUUGCCUACUGCACCACAGGAAGUGUCAUAAAGUUGCACAAGAGAUUAUACUUGCAUGUUAAAUUGUUUUAGGAAAAAUAGGAAAAAUAUAAAUAGAGUUAGAAAAAAAUGGGUUCUGGUGAAGACUGCUAAUUGUACUUUGUGAUCACUUG